GGGCCGCUAGCUCAACUGGCAGAGCAGCGGACUUUUAAUCCGCGGGUUCAGGGUUCGAUCCCCUGGCGGCCCACCA
Molecule: transfer RNA, 76 nt
Filed under: Saccharothrix algeriensis
Lineage: Bacteria; Bacillati; Actinomycetota; Actinomycetes; Pseudonocardiales; Pseudonocardiaceae
Also listed under: 1 other name
Description: tRNA-Lys
Rfam family: tRNA
About the family: Transfer RNA (tRNA) molecules are approximately 80 nucleotides in length.
Source: RNAcentral